This 486-nucleotide ribosomal RNA is filed under the name uncultured bacterium. RNAcentral describes it as "partial 16S ribosomal RNA". It matches the Rfam family "Bacterial small subunit ribosomal RNA", at positions 30 to 507 of the family's 1533-position model. The record is from RNAcentral.
AUUGAACGCUGGCGGCAUGCCUUACACAUGCAAGUCGAACGGCAGCACGGGUGCUUGCACCUGGUGGCGAGUGGCGAACGGGUGAGUAAUACAUCGGAACAUGUCCUGUAGUGGGGGAUAGCCCGGCGAAAGCCGGAUUAAUACCGCAUACGAUCUACGGAUGAAAGCGGGGGACCUUCUGGCCUCGCGCUAUCGGGUUGGCCGAUGGCUGAUUAGCUAGUUGGUGGGGUAAAGGCCUACCAAGGCUACGAUCAGUAGCUGGUCUGAGAGGACGACCAGCCACACUGGGACUGAGACACGGCCCAGACUCCUACGGGAGGCAGCAGUGGGGAAUUUUGGACAAUGGGCGAAAGCCUGAUCCAGCAAUGCCGCGUGUGUGAAGAAGGCCUUCGGGUUGUAAAGCACUUUUGUCCGGAAAGAAAUCCUUGGCCCUAAUACGGUCGGGGGAUGACGGUACCGGAAGAAUAAGCACCGGCUAACUACGUG